This 72-nucleotide transfer RNA is filed under the name Penicillium paxilli ATCC 26601. RNAcentral's name for it is "tRNA-Thr (TGT) (tRNA-Thr-TGT-1-1, tRNA-Thr-TGT-1-2)". It matches the Rfam family "tRNA". Rfam says of the family: Transfer RNA (tRNA) molecules are approximately 80 nucleotides in length. Their secondary structure includes four short double-helical elements and three loops (D, anti-codon, and T loops). The record is from RNAcentral. Lineage: Eukaryota; Fungi; Ascomycota; Eurotiomycetes; Eurotiales; Aspergillaceae.
GCCUCUAUAGUUUAGUGGUAGAAUGCUGCACUUGUAAUGCAGUGGUCCGUGGUUCGAACCCGCGUGGAGGCU